UCCAGUGAAUUGACUCUAUACAUAAGCACUAUAAUCUUCAUUUCUAUUUUAUCUCAUUUUAGCUCUUCUAUUUUAAAAUUUAAUAUUUUAUUAAAAAUAAAUUUAAAUAUUACAUUAAUUAAAAUAAAAUACAAUAAAUAAAAAUAUUACUAAUAAUUAAAAAUUAGGUAAAAAUAAUUUAAAAGGUUUAAUAUUAUAAAAUAAAAAAAAUCAAAAAUCAACAUUAAAACAAAAAAUAUAGAAAAAAUAAUAUAAGUAAAAACUACCCUAUCAAUCCGCCGCCCCACCCAUUUCAUUUUCUUUUUUUUCUUCUUCUCCCAGUCGUCCCCCUUUUUUCUUUUUCUUUUUCUUCAUCUUCCCCACCAAACCCUUUCUUCCUCUGCUCUUUCCUUCUCUCUUCUAUUUCUGUAUAUAUAUUUUUUAUCCGUGUGUACUCUGCAUGUGCCUGCCAUUUCUUGCCAAAACGUCUGACAACAUGGAAAGCACUAAGCACGAGUGGGGGGAGCACUCCAGUGCGCGGUGCUGCGCAGCGUGCCGCAUCGAGGCGACACCCCCCUCCCCGUGCUAUGGAUGCUCCUAUGCCUUUAUUGUUGUAAAAGAGCUAGAAGGGGGAGUUUCUCUUUUGGGUUCAGGAUGGAUGACUCCAUAAUUUGAAAAGAUACGAUCAACCUUGGUAUUAAGGGAGGAAAAGGAGCAUACGAUUAAAUAAUUAUAUGACUUGUGGAAUAACUUAUUGGGACCUUCAUUCCCUUCCCCACUAUAUGUAGAAAACAAUAUAUCUUUAUACGAAUAAUUAAUAAAUUAAUUAAUUCGCGAUUACAUGUGUAUGUGUAAAGAUUAAUUUAAACAUCUCUCACAUGGAGAUGGUGACUGAAUUUGGUCCUAUGUCCAGAUUGCUUGUAA
Molecule: long non-coding RNA, 903 nt
Organism: Salvia miltiorrhiza (redroot sage)
Lineage: Eukaryota; Viridiplantae; Streptophyta; Magnoliopsida; Lamiales; Lamiaceae
Exons: 3
Source: RefSeq, a predicted model, not a curated record